Molecule: long non-coding RNA, 1615 nt
Organism: Sarcophilus harrisii (Tasmanian devil)
Lineage: Eukaryota; Metazoa; Chordata; Mammalia; Dasyuromorphia; Dasyuridae
Exons: 3
Source: RefSeq, a predicted model, not a curated record
CAACAAUCAAAGACCAUCAGGUGUAAAGAAGUUCCUGAAUUACUCUGAUGGAAUGGGAUUCUCUAAGCCGAUGAAAUAGCAGAACUGGACACAUUUCAAAAUGGCACCAUGCUAGACAAACACAGAAAACUCAUAUUCUAUUGUGUGACUGAUGGGAAAGAGGGAGGAGUACAUUUUCUCCCAAAAUUUGAAGAAUAUACAGAUCUUUUCAAACUAAUUUCAAGAAGAGAGCACAAGUAGAGGGAGAUGAUAUCAUAAGAGAGUAGAGAGGCUUUUGAUUUGGAGAGGAAAGUCAAAUAUAUAUUCUUCUCCUCUGAAAUGACCCCAGAGCAAUAUAUAUUUGAAUGGUAAGCGCAGAUGGGACUUAAGAGAAGUACAAAAGAAAGUUUUAGGAGCACAGGCAGUGAGAAGAUUAUAAAAGGGAAUCCUUCUUUCUGCUUCCCAAACUAUGAAUGCUCUUCUUACUCUUAUUACUUUAACUCAUUUGUGAAACUUGGUAGAGGUAUAUAUAAGACCAGAUUUAUACACAAGUGGAAUAAUGAAUUAUAUCCUUUUUGUUUGAGUAGUAUAAAAAAAUUUUGCACACAGCACACUGAUACUUGAAGUUCUACUAUUUAAGAAUAAUUUAUGUCACUACCAUUUUGGUAUGAAAAAAUAUCUUCUUUAGAUUUUUUUCCCCAACAGAAGAAAUGAGACAGAGAGCACUACAUACCUGGAGUGUGAGAAUAGGUAUUAAAAGGAGGAAAGAGGUUCCAGAAAGGGAGGGCAAGGAAAGUGGAAGACAAACUUCACAAUUAUGCUGAGAAGUCAAGCUGGGACAGAAGACUUUGCUCUAGAACCAUAACACAAGUCCACUUUGUAAAGCCAAACAAUGAUUACAGCCUGAGGCUUCCAGAGGGGUGUUGAUCUGGAUUUGUGAUUUUAUGGUGUAAGGAACUCUCCAAAAGGAUAUUGAAGAUUGGCCCUUGCUCUGUAAUUUAAUGUUUUAGAGAACUGUAUGGAACAGCAAGCCAGUGUGACCUGACAAGCGUCCCAUAACCAGGAUAUUUCACAUGGAAGACUUGAAUCUAAGUCUUUCUGACUUUUAGAAGACUCCCUAUUCACAUUGUGCAGCCUCUGAAGGAAUCUUAGAAGUCACUUAAUCCAAGACUUAGAUUCUGUAUGAAGAAAAGAAGUUUAAGAACAUUAAGUGACUAGUCUACAAUCAUAAAUAUGAUAAGUAGCAUAACCAGGGUAUGAACCAAAGGUCAUCUCCUUUUAACCCUUGGACAUUAAAAAUUGGAAUAUUACUCUUAUUAUAAUUUUAUAAAUAUAAAAAAUGGAGGCACAUGAUGUUAACUGGGGGAGGAGAGCUGGACUGUUUAGUUCCUAAUAUAAUGUUAUUAAUCACUUUUUACUACAUAUUAAUUAUUCUAUAAUAACAUUCCAAAAGGGUUCAUCAUUCUGAUAAUACAUUUGAAUAUCUAUAUGGAAACUGGGUAGAUUAUAAAACCAAAUUAUCUUAUUUAUAUGGAUUUCUUCUCAAUUUAAUUUUUUUUUAUUAUAGAAAAUACACAUACAUGUGUGCAACAUUUAUGGGCAUCAAUUUAUCCUUGAGAAAAUUUUUAUUAAUCUA